This 336-nucleotide long non-coding RNA is filed under the name Chinchilla lanigera (long-tailed chinchilla). Its description in RNAcentral is "lncRNA (ENSCLAG00000023526.1)". The record is from RNAcentral. Lineage: Eukaryota; Metazoa; Chordata; Mammalia; Rodentia; Chinchillidae.
GAAGGGAGACAGACAAGAUUCUUUGAGAACACGUGGAAGGACACCCUGGGGAAACUCACCUCUGACUCCCACAAGAACCAAAUCCCAGUCCUGGAUGCAAAGAUGGAUUUGAGAAAUCUGGGUUUUCACCAAAAACUAACGUAGUAUAUCCAGUUACAGUGGGUGUUCUUUGGCAAGAUUUAGAACCACAGAAUGACUGAUGAGAAGAGGCAUCCUAAGAGGUCACAUGAGGAACUGACAUCUUUGUCCACUGACAAGACCAGUCUAGAGAGCACCAUGCAAAUAAACAACUUUUGUAGGUACAGUCUGUGCAGAUUCUGGGUCACAUAAAUGCAC